Molecule: ribosomal RNA, 254 nt
Filed under: uncultured bacterium
Lineage: Bacteria
Description: partial 16S ribosomal RNA
Rfam family: Bacterial small subunit ribosomal RNA
Source: RNAcentral
UACGUAGGUGGCGAGCGUUGUCCGGAUUUAUUGGGUUUAAAGGGUGCGUAGGCGGCUUUGUAAGUCAGUGGUGAAAUACUCCAGCUUAACUGGAGGGGUGCCAUUGAUACUGCGGAGCUUGAGUACAGAUGAGGUAGGCGGAAUUGACGGUGUAGCGGUGAAAUGCAUAGAUAUCGGGAGGAACACCGGGUGGCGAAGGCGGCGAUCUGGGUCGAUACUGACGCUGAGGUGCGAAAGCGUGGGGAGCAAACAGG